This 29-nucleotide non-coding RNA is filed under the name Homo sapiens (human). The record is from RNAcentral. Lineage: Eukaryota; Metazoa; Chordata; Mammalia; Primates; Hominidae.
UGGGAUGGGCUGGAUAUUCUGCCACCAGA